Long non-coding RNA from Amphiprion ocellaris (clown anemonefish), 591 nucleotides. NCBI's taxonomy places the organism in Eukaryota, Metazoa, Chordata, Actinopteri, Pomacentridae. The record is from Ensembl.
CUUCCCUUCGCCAUGUCUCCUCCAGUCUCUCCUCUAAACUCUAUAAACUACAAUUAAAGCCCCGAAAUCCAAGCUUCCUUCCAGCCGGUUACCUGCAGGACAACUUCCGGGUUCAUGUCCGCUGUCUCCGCCCACAAGAGAGACGCCAUAAUGACUCUUGCAGCCCCAGCGCCGUUUGCCAGUGAGGUCCUUUUCCUCCACACUGACAGGGCAGGGAGCUGUGGUUGCUGCUGAAGGGCCGAGGGGACCAUGUGGCGAGGCGUCCAUCUGGGGUAACCUGAGUAAACGCAGGUGACAGACUGAACUCUCACCACCAUCUGCUAAAAAGUCUCCCUAAACUUGACCCCUCUGCCCCGAGGGGUUGCCUGACCUCUGCUGGCAGAUCCAGCCCGCUGGACCAUCCAGAGAACAGAGGCCCGGGCAUGAGUCAACCUGACAUGACUCGAGGAUUCGGUGAUUUAUCGCAUCUCAGUCUGGAGAAUCACAACCUGCAUUCAGCAGUGUCGAAACAAAAGCAGAAGGAAUACAGAGGGUGACGGGGGAGGACAUUAACAGCCCAUAAAUCUGCCAGAGAGGUCCACAAGUGUUCUG